CAGGACCUUGAAUUCACCAUCAGAUUUGGGGUUUCUCUCUAAGAAGCCAUUCCUCAGAGCCUUGCAUGGGUGAGGCUGGUCAGCAAAGUGCAAGGGGGUAUAUGCCCCUCAAAGAGCAACCUGGAAAGCCUCCAUCCUACCUUGAUUAACCCUGAAAGUGGCUAAUUUCUAUUUUGUGCUUUGCUCAGCUGAAAACUUCAUCCAGUGACACGCAGGCACAGAAGUGCCCUGGUUUGGGAAGGCAGGCAAUUAUUUCCUGCCUGAAGGGAGAAAGUUCAUACCGUGCUGUGCUUUGUGUUUUCUACAGAGCGGAGCCGCUCUGAUCGCUCCCAGGCUUUCUCAGCUGUUUGUCAGUCACCAGCUCUCUUCAUGGACUAUAUAAGGAGCCCAAGUACCUCAUUAAGAUGUUUUCAAUCGCUCUCUGCAGCCACGUGCAUAGCAAUACACAGUGUAAAACCUAAAUUAGGCACUGUUAAAGACUCACAGGAAGAUAUCCAUGGCUUAAGCAUUCUGUCUCCAUGUGAGGGAACAUGUCUGAUCCCAGAAAAGAAUUCUGCCCCAUCACCUCCUCUGCCUUUCUCUGUCACCGUCAUCGAGUGCCUGUUUUUUGUGCUCGGCAUUGGGACAUCACAAGUGGUGGGAUUUUUUUGUGAUGUUUUCGUGACCACGGGGGCCACAGCGCUUGCCAUGUUGUCACUCAUCUUUGGGAUGGGAAGGAGAGGGUCACCACAGAAACAAAAUGGGCAGAAAUCAGCCUGAUUCAGGUGAGUAAGAUGCUUGUUGCCAUUAGAGCACCUACCAUGUGUGGCUCCCCAUGAGUGGUACCCAAACUCUCCACUCUCCCAUGAAGCCAACCUCCCUCUAGAAGACCCUCUGAUAAAAGGUUAACCUCAAUCUCAGUAGUAGCCUAGACCUUGCAUUUAAAGCACCAUAUGUUCCUGGGAGACUUCAGCCUGUCUGCUGCUUAUUUUCCCUUUAUUGCCCUAAAAAAAACCCCCCAGAAUCACUUGCAACUCCCAAGACUUGAGCUCACUGAGGCUGGCUGGAAGCUUUGGGAGGCACCCAGGUGCCACGGUGAGAGAAACUGCUCUGCGGUGCUGUGGUCUGGCUGGAAUUU
Molecule: long non-coding RNA, 1117 nt
Filed under: Calidris pugnax (ruff)
Lineage: Eukaryota; Metazoa; Chordata; Aves; Charadriiformes; Scolopacidae
Description: lncRNA (ENSCPUG00000019860.1)
Source: RNAcentral